This 510-nucleotide long non-coding RNA is filed under the name Ictidomys tridecemlineatus (thirteen-lined ground squirrel). Its description in RNAcentral is "lncRNA (ENSSTOG00000034726.1)". Lineage: Eukaryota; Metazoa; Chordata; Mammalia; Rodentia; Sciuridae. The record is from RNAcentral.
AGCAGCGUGAGAGGGAUGGGCUGAGUGUGGAGAGGGCAGUGCAGCUCAGGGCCUCCAGGGCCAUCUGCGUCAAGGGGACACUCUGACUUAAGGGGGCUGUGCUGGUGGCACCCCAGGCCCUUCUCUCCCAGGCUGGCCUCUGUCAUGCCUCAUCUAUCAGGUUAGCCUCUGCUGACGCUGGACAUGGCCACCCUCCACCUGCCCUCCAACUGCCUGUGCCCUUCCUCACACAGCCCAGGAGAAUGCACCCUCCAGGAGUCGAGCAGGGCAGGAGUUGGGGUAGCUGGCACUUCCGGGUUUCCUGAGGGGUGUCACACCUCAGACACUGGACAACUUCCUGCACUAGCAGCCAUGGAUCCUCGGGUCACCUGGCACUGGAAAGGGUGGUCACUCAGCUUCCUGUUGCUGUGUCCAAGUGCGAGGAUGCUCCGCGGUUGGUCCUCCUUCUCCUGUUAAUGGACAUGGGGCCCAGGUUGGGCUGUCACUAAUAAAGCUGCUGGAAAAUCCAGG